This 448-nucleotide ribosomal RNA is filed under the name uncultured organism. Its description in RNAcentral is "partial 16S ribosomal RNA". It matches the Rfam family "Bacterial small subunit ribosomal RNA", at positions 335 to 799 of the family's 1533-position model. The record is from RNAcentral.
ACUCCUGCGGGAGGCAGCAGUGGGGAAUAUUGGACAAUGGGCGCAAGCCUGAUCCAGCCAUGCCGCGUGAGUGAUGAAGGCCCUAGGGUUGUAAAGCUCUUUCACCGGUGAAGAUAAUGACGGUAACCGGAGAAGAAGCCCCGGCUAACUUCGUGCCAGCAGCCGCGGUAAUACGAAGGGGGCUAGCGUUGUUCGGAUUUACUGGGCGUAAAGAGCACGUAGGCGGACUAUUAAGUCAGGGGUGAAAUCCCGGGGCUCAACCCCGGAACUGCCUUUGAUACUGGUAGUCUUGAGUUCGAGAGAGGUGAGUGGAAUUCCUAGUGCAGAGGUGAAAUUCGUAGAUAUUCGGAGGAACACCAGUGGCGAAGGCGGCUCACUGGCUCGAUACUGACGCUGAGGUGCGAAAGCGUGGGGAGCAAACAGGAUUAGAAACCCCUGUAGUCCCAUG